Molecule: ribosomal RNA, 268 nt
Filed under: Cortinarius urbicus
Lineage: Eukaryota; Fungi; Basidiomycota; Agaricomycetes; Agaricales; Cortinariaceae
Description: partial large subunit ribosomal RNA
Source: RNAcentral
ACGCUUGAAGUCAGUCGCGUUGGCCAGGGAUCAACCUUGCUUUUGCUUGGUGCACUUUCUGGUUUGACGGGCCAGCAUCAAUUUUGACUAUUGGAUAAAGGUUAAGGGAAUGUGGCAUCUUUGGAUGUGUUAUAGCUCUUGGUCGCAUACAAUGGUUGGGAUUGAGGAACUCAGCACGCCGCAAGGCCGGGUUUUAAACCACGUACGUGCUUAGGAUGCUGGCAAUAUGGCUUUAAUCGACCCGUCUUGAAACACGGACCAAGGAGUC